AGUAACGGCGAGUGAAGCGGUAAUAGCUCAAAUUUGAAAUCUGGCUCUUUUAGAGUCCGAAUUGUAAUUUGUAGAAGAUGCUUCGGGGGGGGUUCCGGUCGAAGUGCCUUGGAACAGGACGUCAUAGAGGGUGAGAAUCCCGUAUGGGACUGGAUACCUAUGCUCAUGUGAAGCUCUUUCGACGAGUCGAGUUGUUUGGGA
RNAcentral lists this ribosomal RNA (201 nucleotides) under Botrytis sp. Its description in RNAcentral is "partial large subunit ribosomal RNA". It matches the Rfam family "Eukaryotic large subunit ribosomal RNA", at positions 82 to 279 of the family's 3401-position model. The record is from RNAcentral. Lineage: Eukaryota; Fungi; Ascomycota; Leotiomycetes; Helotiales; Sclerotiniaceae.